AAGCAUAACUUAAGUGGUACUUUUAAUACUGGCAUAUUUUUCAGGCCAAACAUUCUGUAUCUCAGGCAAACCCAGGCAUUUAUAGUACGCCUUUAAGCCUCCUUGGAAAUCAAGCGUCUGCCUGUGGUGAAACAUAGGUGUCAUUAUACUUUUUGGAUGGUUUUAAGGUUGUAUGAAUUUUUAUUUUGUAAUCAAUUCACCAAAGCCAUCGCUUAAUAUUUC
RNAcentral lists this unclassified non-coding RNA (222 nucleotides) under Moritella viscosa. RNAcentral's name for it is "putative sRNA". Lineage: Bacteria; Pseudomonadati; Pseudomonadota; Gammaproteobacteria; Alteromonadales; Moritellaceae. The record is from RNAcentral.